UGGGGAAUAUUNCAUNAUGGGGGAAACCCUGAUGCAGCGACGCCGCGUGAGUGAAGAAGUAUUUCGGUAUGUAAAGCUCUAUCAGCAGGGAAGAUAAUGACAGUACCUGACUAAGAAGCCCCGGCUAACUACGUGCCAGCAGCCGCGGUAAUACGUAGGGGGCAAGCGUUAUCCGGAUUUACUGGGUGUAAAGGGAGCGUAGACGGAGUGGCAAGUCUGAAGUGAAAACCCUGGGCUCAACCUGGGGACUGCUUUGGAAACUGUUAAUCUAGAGUGUUGGAGAGGUAAGUGGAAUUCCUGGUGUAGCGGUGAAAUGCGUAGAUAUCAGGAAGAACACCGGAGGCGAAGGCGGCUUACUGGACAAUAACUGACGUUGAGGCUCGAAGGCGUGGGGAUCAAACAGGAUUAGAUACCCUGGUAGUCCACGCUGUAAACGAUGAAUACUAGGUGUCGGGGAGCAAAGCUUCUCGGUGCCGUCGCAAACGCAAUAAGUAUUCCACCUGGGGAGUACGUUCGCAAGAAUGA
RNAcentral lists this ribosomal RNA (525 nucleotides) under uncultured bacterium. RNAcentral describes it as "bacterial SSU rRNA". It matches the Rfam family "Bacterial small subunit ribosomal RNA", at positions 355 to 897 of the family's 1533-position model. The record is from RNAcentral.